GCAGUCGAGCGGUAGAGAGAGCUUGCUUCUCUUGAGAGCGGCGGACGGGUGAGUAAUGCCUAGGAAUCUGCCUGGUAGUGGGGGAUAACGUUCGGAAACGGACGCUAAUACCGCAUACGUCCUACGGGAGAAAGCAGGGGACCUUCGGGCCUUGCGCUAUCAGAUGAGCCUAGGUCGGAUUAGCUAGUUGGUGAGGUAAUGGCUCACCAAGGCGACGAUCCGUAACUGGUCUGAGAGGAUGAUCAGUCACACUGGAACUGAGACACGGUCCAGACUCCUACGGGAGGCAGCAGUGGGGAAUAUUGGACAAUGGGCGAAAGCCUGAUCCAGCCAUGCCGCGUGUGUGAAGAAGGUCUUCGGAUUGUAAAGCACUUUAAGUUGGGAGGAAGGGCAUUAACCUAAUACGUUAGUGUUUUGACGUUACCGACAGAAUAAGCACCGGCUAACUCUGUGCCAGCAGCCGCGGUAAUACAGAGGGUGCAAGCGUUAAUCGGAAUUACUGGGCGU
RNAcentral lists this ribosomal RNA (507 nucleotides) under bacterium 79-L049641-122-013-G10. RNAcentral describes it as "bacterial SSU rRNA". It matches the Rfam family "Bacterial small subunit ribosomal RNA", at positions 57 to 561 of the family's 1533-position model. The record is from RNAcentral.